AGAUUGAACGCUGGCGGCAUGCCUUACACAUGCAAGUCGAACGGCAGCACGGGGGCAACCCUGGUGGCGAGUGGCGAACGGGUGAGUAAUGCAUCGGAACGUGCCCAGUAGUGGGGGAUAACUAGUCGAAAGAUUAGCUAAUACCGCAUACGACCUACGGGUGAAAGCGGGGGAUUCGCAAGAACCUCGCGCUAUCGGAGCGGCCGAUGUCUGAUUAGCUAGUGCGGGUAAAAGCCACAAGGCUUCGAUCAGUAGCUGGUCUGAGAGGACGACCAGCCACACCUGGGACUGACGACGAACGGCCCAGACUCCGUAACGGGAGGCAGCAGUGGGAAUUUGGACAAGUCGGCGACAAGCCGUGAUCAGCCAAUGCCGACGUGACGGGAAGAAGGCCUUCGGUUA
RNAcentral lists this ribosomal RNA (402 nucleotides) under uncultured soil bacterium. Its description in RNAcentral is "bacterial SSU rRNA". It matches the Rfam family "Bacterial small subunit ribosomal RNA", at positions 26 to 425 of the family's 1533-position model. The record is from RNAcentral.